Non-coding RNA from Epinephelus lanceolatus (giant grouper), 690 nucleotides. The record is from RefSeq and is a predicted model, not a curated record. NCBI's taxonomy places the organism in Eukaryota, Metazoa, Chordata, Actinopteri, Perciformes, Serranidae.
AAGAUUCUUCCACAAAACCCGUGUCUUCUCUCCUGGAGGAAAGAGGGCAGCAUGGGGUCUACAUGAGAGACUUUUAAGAGCAGCGGGUGAAGAACAAUGUGUGUAGAGACAGAGAGACAGUGUGCUUUCAAUAGCAAUCAGCCUGUCUGUGUGUGUGCGAUGAGCUGCAGGAGGUGUGAUUCCCCAGUCAACCACGUGAUCGGGUUGCUGCCGCUGACUGGCUGACUGCUCAGUUUUAAACUCUACCUGACGCCGGCCUUCGGCCUCUCACUUUCCCCAUUCCCAACAUGACAGCAGCCGGUAGUAUUCUGUGUAUGAUCUUGUGUGUGCUGCAGUAGCAUUUUUGAUUUAGAGCAUCUGCCUGCAGAAGCUGUUACCUUGAACUUUAGUUUGUGUGUUAAAGCUACCUGUGACUGUGAUUAGAACAGCUUAUUGUAAGCAUUGUAAUAUUGUAAAUAAUCUUGCUCAAUUCAGUAGCAACCUUAAAGUAGGAGGGAGAAGCCAUUUUUGUUGAUCCCUUUUUCUCCUGUUUAUUUCAGUUGGGAGGUAGGUUAGUUUGAUUGUCUUUUGUUUCCACAUUUAUUUUCUGACAGGUAAGGUAGGGAUCUGGACUUAGUUGUUUUGUUUGUUAUUUUUGGCAUUGCUCCUCUCUGAAGUUAUAAAAAUAAAACUGCUACUUUGAACUUUUUA